Molecule: ribosomal RNA, 463 nt
Filed under: uncultured bacterium
Lineage: Bacteria
Description: partial 16S ribosomal RNA
Rfam family: Bacterial small subunit ribosomal RNA
Source: RNAcentral
GAUGAACGCUGACAGAAUGCUUAACACAUGCAAGUCUUUGGCGAAGCUGUGCUUGCACAGCCUAGCCAAGGCGGACGGGUGAGUAACGCGUAAGGAACUUGCCCUGCAGUCAGGGAUAACAGACGGAAACGACUGAUAAGACCUGGUAAAGUCAGGCGGACUCAUGUCCAGCCUGAUGAAAAGAGAUGCUGCAGGAGAGCCUUGCGUCCUAUUAGCUUGUUGAUGGGGUAACGGCCCACCAAGGCGAUGAUAGGUAGCCGGCCUGAGAGGGUGGACGGCCACAAGGGGACUGAGAUACGGCCCUUACUCCUACGGGAGGCAGCAGUGGGGAAUAUUGGACAAUGGGGGCAACCCUGAUCCAGCAAUUCUGUGUGCACGAUGAAGGUUUUCGGAUUGUAAAGUGCUUUCAGCAGGGAAGAAAAAAAUGACGGUACCUGCAGAAGAAGCGACGGCUAAAUACGUG